UUGAACGCUGGCGGCAUGCCUUACACAUGCAAGUCGAACGUGAAAGCGGGGCAACCCGCAAGUAGAGUGGCGGACGGGUGAGUAAUACAUCGGAACGUGUCCAGUAAUGGGGGAUAACCUAGCGAAAGUUAGGCUAAUACCGCAUACGAUCUGCGGAUGAAAGCGGGGGAUGCGGCACUAAAGGCUUUUGGCGAAGGUGGCCAAAGGUGAGUCAAGAGCUUUUAGUGCUGCACCUCGCGUUAUUGGAGCGGCUGAUGUCUGAUUAGCUAGUUGGUGAGGUAAAGGCUUACCAAGGCGACGAUCAGUAGCUGGUCUGAGAGGACGGCCAGCCACACUGGGACUGAGACACGGCCCAGACUCCUACGGGAGGCAGCAGUGGGGAAUUUUGGACAAUGGGGGCAACCCUGAUCCAGCCAUGUCGCGUGAGUGAAGAAGGCCUUCGGUUGUAA
RNAcentral lists this ribosomal RNA (449 nucleotides) under uncultured bacterium. Its description in RNAcentral is "bacterial SSU rRNA". It matches the Rfam family "Bacterial small subunit ribosomal RNA", at positions 30 to 428 of the family's 1533-position model. The record is from RNAcentral.